This 68-nucleotide transfer RNA is filed under the name Canis lupus familiaris (dog). It matches the Rfam family "tRNA". Rfam says of the family: Transfer RNA (tRNA) molecules are approximately 80 nucleotides in length. Their secondary structure includes four short double-helical elements and three loops (D, anti-codon, and T loops). Further hydrogen bonds mediate the characteristic L-shaped molecular structure. tRNAs have two regions of fundamental functional importance: the anti-codon, which is responsible for specific mRNA codon recognition, and the 3' end, to which the tRNAs corresponding amino acid is attached (by aminoacyl-tRNA synthetases). tRNAs cope with the degeneracy of the genetic code in two manners: having more than one tRNA (with a specific anti-codon) for a particular amino acid; and 'wobble' base-pairing, i.e. permitting non-standard base-pairing at the 3rd anti-codon position. RNAcentral also lists the same sequence under 2 other names. The record is from Rfam by way of RNAcentral. Lineage: Eukaryota; Metazoa; Chordata; Mammalia; Carnivora; Canidae.
GCCAGCUCAGUCAGUAGAGCAUGUGACUCUUGAUCUCAGCGUUGUGGGUUCAAGCCCCACACUGGGCA